RNAcentral lists this non-coding RNA (28 nucleotides) under Mus musculus (house mouse). Lineage: Eukaryota; Metazoa; Chordata; Mammalia; Rodentia; Muridae. The record is from RNAcentral.
UCACAGGAUGUCUCUGGAUGGUAGAGGC